AGUGGGGUGAGGCAUAGAAGACAAAAAGAGAGUAAAAUUAAACAUACAGUAUUAGCAGAAGAGUGAUAACAUUACCAAGAACACCGUGUUGUUCAGGCAGGUGGCUCUCCAUGAGUUCCAUGCCAACCUGGUCUACACAGAGAGUUCCAAGCUACAUAGUGAGACCUAGUCUCAAAAGCAGAAAAUAAAAACAUUUGUUAGCACUCUUAAAAUCUCGAGCAGAGUUGUAGAACCCAAUGGACUCUUACUCAGACUUCUGAUAGAAUUACAAGAGGGAUUUAAAAAUAGGAACUGGUUAGGCAUGGUGGUUUGAAAUCCUAGCAUUUAAGAGGCAGGAGAAUUGAGUUUGAGGCCAGCUUACGCUACAUGGAGAAGACCCCGUCUGUAACGAACGAACACACGCAAAACCGUAAAAUGGUUUCAACGUUUGCCAAUGAUACUCAGAAAUAGAAAACAGUGCCUAACAGUUGGGAAGAGUGUCUACUGUUCUUAGCUUUGCCUCAAGGAAAGAUGCGAUCUUGUCUAUUUUUACAUUUUCAACCACGCAUUCUCUGCACCCAGCAACGCCUUCUUUGUAACGGUGGAAAACCGAGGGAUGGCUGAAGUUUCCCUUCUUAGCACAUCAAUUUAACGGGGGGGGGGGGGGGAAGGGGGGAGUAAAGGCUGUGACUGUGCCUGUGUGACUUAAAAUGACGCUAUGGAUUCGUUUCUCCCUGAAAGCAACUGGAGGGGGUACUGACGUGACAACAGCAGCACCGCCGAAGAAGACACUUGAAUGACUGUUUCCAGGGGAGCCACGUUCCUCAUAGUACGAGCCGCUGUGUGCUCUGCAGCGGCACUGUCUGGGUAAGAGACGGUGUGAUGUCCACUUCCGGCCCCCGCUGACAAGCUCGCCUGUCACUCCAGAGGAGGUGAGUAGUCCAGGCUAGGCUAGGCGCCGUGGCCUCGGCCGUGGCGGAGGCGGGCGACGCGGGCGGUGCUGGAGUCUCGGGCGUCGAGCGGCGCGUGGGAGGCUCAAGACCGCACCCCGCUCCCGCGCCCGCGCCCGCGCCCGCGCGCGCACCGGGCAGCACCACCCGCCGCGGGUCCGCUCGGGGAGGGCGGGCCGGGGAGGCGCCGGGUCACGUGGCGCGGUCACGUGUCCAUCCUUCCCCCCCCCCCCCCCCCUCAGCCCGACUGGCGGUCGCGGGGGCGGCCGAGGGAGGUGGAGUCUCGGCCGAGACGCGGGGGGGAGGUGGUGGCGGCGGCGGCGGCGCCGAGGGCUGCCGGAGGCGGAGGCGGAGAGGCACGAGGCCGCUGCCACGGCCGCUAGGGAGAGUUGUAAGAGUCCAUCCAGGACCUUCCAGUCAUGAAUAAUCUGAUGGCUCCUGAAUUAACCGGGAAAACAAACAUAUCAAGUGCCAUUUGAAGACUGUGUCUAUCUAUGUAAAACCUUUUCUGCACAUAGAAGCUUUCCCAUAAGAAGACAUUCUGAAUUUUGCAACUGAUGAAGAUUAAGCAUCAGCUGGAGCACCUUUCCACUGUUGGGGUCGGGAGUCUGUGGAGAACAGUCUGUCACUAAUGUCAGAUUUUCCUUACAGUGUUCAUAAACAAAAGCAAGUUUGCAGAAGAAAAAAUUGCACAGAUUAACCCUAAAGAAUACCUCCAGUGUAAAGCAGAGGCAGACCUUAAAACUCUGAACCGAAGCUCAGUGACUUUUCCUGUGGUUGUAGCAGGAGUGAGGGGACUGAUCUGAAAGGAACAGGUUCCUUUGUGUCUUCAGCUAUCGGAAGUUUUUUAUUUAUUGUUUAUCUUUUUUCUUUUCUGCAUAUAUAUGCCAUUUUAAAAUACUAAUUGGAACUGUCAGUUACAAAAUAAAUAUCAAGAAAAGCCUUUUUUGGUCCA
Molecule: long non-coding RNA, 1884 nt
Filed under: Mus spicilegus (steppe mouse)
Lineage: Eukaryota; Metazoa; Chordata; Mammalia; Rodentia; Muridae
Description: lncRNA (ENSMSIG00000014882.1)
Source: RNAcentral